GACAGUCCAAAGCCGCGAGGCUCGCACCGCACAGGACGCGUCUUUCCGUCCACGCUCGCGAGCGGGCUAAGGUCUGAGUACUCUAUUUCCACCCGGCUUCCAUUCCUUCAUCAUCCCCCACAGGCUCUAGCUGUGCCUGGCCGUAAUUGGCUGAGCGACGCACCAGAAACACGGCCCCACGAGUCGGAUACUGUCUGUGUCCCGCUCGUGUGCGGUUCGUUCUGCUUAGCCGAACGAAAAAGGUUGGCAGACGAUCGGUGGUCUCAGACCCAGCGUGGUCGAAGAUGAGACCAUUGCUGGCCAUGGAAUAUGUCCCUCUUAUCGGGCGGGCACGUCUACCUCCUCACGUUGGCGUCUCCUCUCUAUUGUAUCUCUCGGUGGUCUCGCUCAGAGAAUGCCACCAAGCAAGCAUUAAGAUCAUGAUCAUGACAUGUAUCCUGUUUGUUGUACCUGGGAGAUGGACGAGGAGAGUAGUUGCGACGACAACGCAAGUGCCCGUCCUUCAGUGCACUUCGCGGCCCGCAUAUUAGGUUGCUGACUCGUUCGGCCCUUCUGCGGAACUCGAUUCAGACUACUCUGGGCUGUC
This 586-nucleotide RNase P RNA is filed under the name Laetiporus sulphureus 93-53. RNAcentral's name for it is "Nuclear RNase P". It matches the Rfam family "Nuclear RNase P". Rfam says of the family: Ribonuclease P (RNase P) is a ubiquitous endoribonuclease, found in archaea, bacteria and eukarya as well as chloroplasts and mitochondria. Lineage: Eukaryota; Fungi; Basidiomycota; Agaricomycetes; Polyporales; Laetiporaceae. The record is from Rfam by way of RNAcentral.